Small nucleolar RNA from Dipodomys ordii (Ord's kangaroo rat), 105 nucleotides. The record is from Ensembl. NCBI's taxonomy places the organism in Eukaryota, Metazoa, Chordata, Mammalia, Rodentia, Heteromyidae.
ACCUUCUUGUAUAAGCACUGUGCUAUAAUUGCAGAAACUUGAAUCCUGUUUUGGUUUCUGUAGUAAUGCUAGUGAAAGGAAAGUAUCUGCAGAGAUCCUAUAAUC